This 216-nucleotide ribosomal RNA is filed under the name Bacillus subtilis. RNAcentral describes it as "partial 16S ribosomal RNA". It matches the Rfam family "Bacterial small subunit ribosomal RNA", at positions 1274 to 1489 of the family's 1533-position model. The record is from RNAcentral. Lineage: Bacteria; Bacillati; Bacillota; Bacilli; Caryophanales; Bacillaceae.
UCCACAAAUCUGUUUCAGUUCGGAUCGCAGUUGCAACUCGACUGCGUGAAGCUGGAAUCGCUAGUAAUCGUGGAUCAGCAUGCCGCGGUGAAUACGUUCCCGGGCCUUGUACACACCGCCCGUCACACCACGAGAGUUUGUAACACCCGAAGUCGGUGAGGUAACCUUUUUGGAGCCAGCCGCCGAAGGUGGGACAGAUGAUUGGGGUGAAGUCGU